RNAcentral lists this ribosomal RNA (1812 nucleotides) under Triticum aestivum (bread wheat). Its description in RNAcentral is "partial small subunit ribosomal RNA". The record is from RNAcentral. Lineage: Eukaryota; Viridiplantae; Streptophyta; Magnoliopsida; Poales; Poaceae.
AUGGAGACGGGCGAGUCUGCGCGGCAGGGUGCCGCCGGUGCUCGCGUCCCGGCAAGCCGAUUCGCCGAGGAGCAGGCCUUCAGGGAGCGGCAUGGCGAUGGCGACCCAAUGAUGGCGUCUCCGGGCCAGGACUCGCCGUUCAACACGUCCGCGCUCUUUGCGGCGGGGCACCCGGUCUCCGUCAGCCUGCCCGCCUCUCCGUCCAGGUUCGACGUCGCCCGGACGGAGGCGGAGUUCCCGCCCAGGCACCCCGCGGCCAUCGUGCCGGACGCGUCGCGCAUGCUGUCGCUCCCGCCGCGGCCGUCGCCGAUGGUGUCCGUCGUGUUCGAGCAUCUCGAGGAGGUGAUGUUCCGCUCGCAGCCGAUCCCUGCGGCGGCCUCCGAGUUGCCCGACGCCCAGGACUCACAGUCCCAGGUGCUGCACGACGGCUCGAUGAGCGGGGCGCGCAUGGGGAGGAGCAAGGCGCUCAGGGACACGAGCUACGACCCGUUCAAGACGUGGUCCGGGAAGCUGGAGAAGCAGCUCACCACCCACCUCCGCGUCGUCAGGCAGCCGCCGCCGCAGGAGGCGGAGCCCGAGGAGGACGACGAAGACGCGGCGACGAGUGGCCGCCCCUACUCCAUGCCCAGAGUCCACCGCUUCUUCGCCGCGCUGGAAGGCCCCGAACUCGACAAGCUCCGGUCGUCGGAGGAGCUGGUCCUGCCGUCGGACAAGAAGUGGCCGUUCCUCCUCCGGUUCCCGGUGUCCGCCUUCGGCAUGUGCCUCGGCAUGAGCAGCCAGGCCAUCCUGUGGAAGAACAUCGCCAUCUCGGCGUCCACGCGCUUCCUGCACAUCACGCUCCGGACAAACCUCGUGCUCUGGUGCGUCUCGGUGGCGCUCAUGUGCUUCGUGUCGGCGCUGUACGCGUGCAAGGUCAUCUUCUACUUCGAGGCGGUGCGGCGGGAGUACUACCACCCGAUCCGCGUCAACUUCUUCUUCGCGCCGUGGAUCGCCUGCCUCUUCCUGGCCAUCGGCGUGCCGGAGAUGGUGGUGGCGAGCCUGCCGCACUGGCUCUGGUACGUGCUCAUGGCCCCCAUCGUGUGCCUGGAGAUCAAGAUAUACGGGCAGUGGAUCUCCGGCGGACAGAGGCGGCUGUCGAGGGUGGCGAACCCGUCGAACCACCUGUCCAUCGUCGGCAACUUCGUGGGCGCGCUGCUGGGGGCCAUCAUGGGGUUGAGGGAGGGCCCCAUCUUCUUCUUCGCCGUCGGGCUCGCGCACUACAUCGUGCUGUUCGUGACGCUGUACCAGAGGCUGCCCACCAGCGAGACGCUGCCAAGGGACCUCCACCCGGUCUUCUUCCUCUUCGUGGCCGCGCCCAGCGUCGCCUGCCUCGCCUGGGCGCGGAUCACCGGCGAGUUCGGGUACGGCUCCCGCAUCGCCUACUUCAUCGCCAUGUUCCUCUACACCUCGCUGGCUGUGCGGAUCAACAUGUUCAGGGGGUUCAGGUUCUCGCUGGCGUGGUGGGCGUACACGUUCCCGAUGACGAGCGCGGCCAUCGCGUCGAUACGCUACUCGUCGGAGGUGAAGAACGCGUUCACGCAGGCCAUGUGCAUCGUGCUGUCCGUGGUGGCCACGCUCACGGUGACCGCGCUCUUGCUGACCACGCUGCUGCACGCCACCGUGCACCACGACCUCUUCCCCAACGACAUCUCCAUCGCCAUCUCGGAGCGCAGGCCCAAGAACAGCCCCAUCGCCGAGCUAAACGAGCUGCACGCCAACAGCAAGGACGCCGACGCCGCAUGCAGAGACCUCGAAGCCGCCUAUAGGCCCUGA